UCCCGCUGAAUUUAAGCAUAUAAGUAAGCGGGGGAAAAGGAACUAAAUAGGAUUCCCUCAGUAAUGGCGAAUGAACAGGGAUGAGCUCAGGCUGGAAACCGAUACAUCUGUGUCGGGCUGUAGCCUGCAGGCAUAGCGCUAUCGGCGGCUCGAGCGCAAGCCUCUUGGAAUAGAGCGUGUGCCCGGGUGAGAAUCCUGCAUUUCGCUCGAUGUCCGCUGUCCACAGUGCUUAUCCUGAGAGUCACGCUCCUCGGAAUUGGAGCGUAAAUCAGGUGGUAAGUUUCAUCCAAAGCUAAAUAGAAGCUCGAGACCAAUAGCAAACAAGUACCAUGAGGGAAAGAUGAAAAGGACUUUUUGGAAAGAGAGUUAAAAGUGUUUGAAAUUGCUGAGAGCGGGGCGAACGGAGCCACAUGUCGUGCUGAGAUUGCUGUGGGUCUUUGUGAGCCUUGAGCAUGUAAGCGCAGGCUGACUGCUUAUGUGUGAGCAUUUGCCCGCAGUGUUUCUCAGCAUGCGAGUCAUUAGCCACAUUUGUUUGAGGAUGGCCUUCAGCUCACAUGGUAGACUUGUUAGUGUUCCUCUGUGCGGUGUGGGACUCAGACAGGUGUGGCU
Molecule: ribosomal RNA, 609 nt
Filed under: Symbiodinium sp. B1
Lineage: Eukaryota; Dinophyceae; Suessiales; Symbiodiniaceae
Description: eukaryotic LSU rRNA
Rfam family: Eukaryotic large subunit ribosomal RNA
Source: RNAcentral